UUUGGAAGGUUAAAAAACGUAACAAGGUCUCCGUUGGUGAACCAGCGGAGGGAUCAUUACCGAGUUUACAACUCCCAAACCCCUGUGAACAUACCUUAAUGUUGCCUCGGCGGAUCAGCCCGCGCCCCGUAAAACGGGACGGCCCGCCAGAGGACCCAAACUCUAAUGUUUCUUAUUGUAACUUCUGAGUAAAACAAACAAAUAAAUCAAAACUUUCAACAACGGAUCUCUUGGUUCUGGCAUCGAUGAAGAACGCAGCAAAAUGCGAUAAGUAAUGUGAAUUGCAGAAUUCAGUGAAUCAUCGAAUCUUUGAACGCACAUUGCGCCCGCUGGUAUUCCGGCGGGCAUGCCUGUUCGAGCGUCAUUUCAACCCUCAAGCCCCCGGGUUUGGUGUUGGGGAUCGGCUCUGCCCUUCUGGGCGGUGCCGCCCCCGAAAUACAUUGGCGGUCUCGCUGCAGCCUCCAUUGCGUAGUAGCUAACACCUCGCAACUGGAACGCGGCGCGGCCAUGCCGUAAAACCCCAACUUCUGAAUGUGACCUCGGAUCAGGUAGAUGCCCCGG
This 561-nucleotide ribosomal RNA is filed under the name Penicillium sp. PSF24. Its description in RNAcentral is "eukaryotic LSU rRNA". The stretch from base 211 to 364 matches the Rfam family "5.8S ribosomal RNA". Lineage: Eukaryota; Fungi; Ascomycota; Eurotiomycetes; Eurotiales; Aspergillaceae. The record is from RNAcentral.